RNAcentral lists this ribosomal RNA (229 nucleotides) under uncultured bacterium. RNAcentral's name for it is "partial 16S ribosomal RNA". It matches the Rfam family "Bacterial small subunit ribosomal RNA", at positions 568 to 796 of the family's 1533-position model. The record is from RNAcentral.
CAUGUAGGCGGAUCAUCAGGUGUCUUGUGAAAGCCCUCGGCUCAACCGAGGAACGGCUGGGCAAACCGAUGAUCUUGAGGCAGGUAGGGGCAACGGGAACUCUUGGUGGAGCGGUGGAAUGCGUAGAUAUCAAGAGGAACGCCAGAGGCGAAGGCGCGUUGCUGGGCCUGUCCUGACGCUGAGAUGCGAAAGCGUAGGUAGCGAACAGGAUUAGAUACCCUGGUAGUCC